GACGAACGCUGGCGGCGUGCUUAACACAUGCAAGUCGAACGGAAAGGCCUUUCUUUUGUGGGGUGCUGGAGUGGCGAACGGAUGAACAAGCCGUGGGUAGCCUAACCUUGGCUUUGGGCUGACUUCAGGACACUGGGGCCAGUACCGGAUAGGAAGUCAUGCGGCAUGGUGGGGGCUGGAAAGUUUCGGCGGUUGGGGAUGGACACGCGGCUACUAAGCUGGUGGGUGGGGGAGUGGCUUACCAAAUCGUCGACGGGUAGCCGGCCUGGGCGGGUGACCGGCCACAUUGGGACUGAGAAGAGGCCCAGACGCCUACGGGAGGCAGCAGCGGGGAAUAAUGCACAAUGAGCGGAAGCCGGAUGCAGCAACGCCGCGUGCGGGAUGACGGCCGUCGGGUUGUAAUCCGCUGUCGCUUGUGACGAAGCGUGAGUGACGGUAACGGGGAAAGAAGCACCGGCUAACUACGUG
This 468-nucleotide ribosomal RNA is filed under the name uncultured bacterium. RNAcentral describes it as "partial 16S ribosomal RNA". It matches the Rfam family "Bacterial small subunit ribosomal RNA", at positions 28 to 507 of the family's 1533-position model. The record is from RNAcentral.